CAGUAGCCACGGGAAUACGAAGGGGGCUAGCGUUGUUCGGAUUUACUGGGCGUAAAGCGCACGUAGGCGGACUUUUAAGUCAGGGGUGAAAUCCCGGGGCUCAACCCCGGAACUGCCUUUGAUACUGGGAGUCUUGAGUUCGAGAGAGGUGAGUGGAAUUGCGAGUGUAGAGGUGAAAUUCGUAGAUAUUCGCAGGAACACCAGUGGCGAAGGCGGCUCACUGGCUCGAUACUGACGCUGAGGUGCGAAAGCGUGGGGAGCAAACAGGAUUAGAUACCCGAGUAGUCCCUGUCUCUUAUAC
RNAcentral lists this ribosomal RNA (301 nucleotides) under uncultured bacterium. RNAcentral's name for it is "partial 16S ribosomal RNA". It matches the Rfam family "Bacterial small subunit ribosomal RNA", at positions 509 to 807 of the family's 1533-position model. The record is from RNAcentral.